Molecule: ribosomal RNA, 192 nt
Filed under: Vibrio sp. B1Z05
Lineage: Bacteria; Pseudomonadati; Pseudomonadota; Gammaproteobacteria; Vibrionales; Vibrionaceae
Description: partial 23S ribosomal RNA
Rfam family: Bacterial large subunit ribosomal RNA
Source: RNAcentral
GGAAUCGAUAAGCGCUGAAAGCAUCUAAGCGCGAAGCGAGCCCUGAGAUGAGUCUUCCCUGGCACUUUAAGUGUCCUAAAGGGUUGUUCGAGACUAGAACGUUGAUAGGCAGGGUGUGUAAGUGCUGCGAGGCAUUGAGCUAACCUGUACUAAUUGCCCGUGAGGCUUAACCAUACAACACCCAAGGGGUUU